Mauremys mutica (yellowpond turtle) is the source of this 315-nucleotide long non-coding RNA. RefSeq lists it as uncharacterized. Lineage: Eukaryota; Metazoa; Chordata; Testudines; Geoemydidae. The transcript is spliced from 4 exons. The record is from RefSeq and is a predicted model, not a curated record.
CUCAAGAAAUGUCAAACCAGACUCUGCCAUGAUCCCCAGCUCUGUCGGGAAGUCAGGCCUUCUGAGAAGAAGCACAACAUGAGUUUAAUGACGUGGGAGCAGGAUAUGAAAAACUUUUUUCAGGUUUUCCAGAACUGAAGAGAGUGUUCCAGGGUAAAGGACUGCAGUGAGAUCUCUCCUAUAUUGAGCUCUGCAUAUUCAGAAUGGGAACUGCACACCUUCUGACUCCCCACUCCCUUGAAGCCUAACUCCCACCCUGCACCCAAGGUCAUGAAGGACGAGUCAGGGCUGGGAGCUGCAGCCAUCCAACACAGG